This 2691-nucleotide ribosomal RNA is filed under the name Triticum aestivum (bread wheat). RNAcentral describes it as "partial small subunit ribosomal RNA". The record is from RNAcentral. Lineage: Eukaryota; Viridiplantae; Streptophyta; Magnoliopsida; Poales; Poaceae.
AUGAAUUCCCAACCAGGAAAUUCUUUUUCCUUUACGCCACCAUAUCCACUCGAGACAGGCUCGCCGGCCGGAGGCCGCCAUCUUGUCCUCUGCAGGAGUGCACGGCGACAAGUUUUGCUUGUUGUCGAGCGUCGCGAUGCCAUGCGUCGGGAGGAAGAGCACCACAUGCGGGGGUGUGAGCCGGUCGCGUCGUUUCCAUCGGCGCCAUCGGGAAGGGCGCCACUGCUGCUGUCCGUGUCGCCCGGUGCGUUGGAAACACCACGGGUCGUUCGGCGUUCUUCGAUUCCUCUCUGCGAUCGUGGAAUGGACGAGCGCCUCUCAGACCGUGUCGAGAAAGCCGCCUCCCGUCGCCUUUUCUCUCGGUCAAAUCGCUCUCAGGAGCGUGCUGAUAACGAAGACCGAAACAUAUACGAUGUUCUCCUCAGCGUCGCUGCCUGGUGUGAUCCCAAAUCCCAAUAUCUCUCCCUGAUUCUCCAUACGGCCAUGAAUCCAUCGAUUUGGUUGGCCGCUGCCAUCCGGCGUCCCGAUGGGAGGAACGGCAGCGUGGAUGCAUGUGGAGGCACAGGGGACGAACACCACAUCCGGGCUUGUGUCGGCCGCUUGGUUCGAGGGGCCAAGGGCCACCGGUUCAUCAACGCCGGAGGGCGUCGCCCCCACGGACAUGGCAUCUGCUAUUUAUACAAGGGAAAGGACACCAUUGAAAAAGGUGUCUAUUCAGAGGAGAUGCCUAUUCGGCAGGAACCGACGCAGCAGUUUUACAACUGCCUGCGGUUAGUACAAUCCGCACUACAUGUUGAAAACUUUGCGUGCUACCGCGCGGGCGCCGCAUGGGCGGUGUGGACGCUGGUCCGGCCGUCCGUCACGUCGUCAACCGAAACAGACUUAUUCAAUAGGAAUAGCAGAUCGGCACUCAAGGUGCCUUACUCGCGCAUUUCGCUUACUCUCAUGGUAUCAGGGCGGGAGUCGCGGAAGCAGAUAGUGCGGACGAAUGCGGCGAACCGAGCGAGCUCAGUGACAUUGGGUUCAAGGGAGACAAAUUUACUUGGAGGAAUCACAGCAAGGAAGUUAGUUCAUACAUCUGUGAGCGCCUUGAUAGAGCCACUGCAAACGACACUUGGUGUGAGUGGUUCCCAAAUUUCAGUGUCCUCAAUGGCGCUCCUCGCCACUCGGACCACGGGCCUGUUAUUGUUUGCACUCAGGGAGGGAGUAGAAGGGAGCGAGGUGGUGAUGGAGGCUUCCAUUUUGAGGCGUGGUGGUUGCAGGAAGACGGGUGCAACGGUGGCAGGGCGCAUGUCGAAGUGGGGAAAGGAGGUGGCUGGUGACUUGAAAGAGAAGCUUAAACAAGCAAGACGGGAGUUGGAAAGGUGUAUGCGUGCUGCGGUGAGUGAAGAAAAAGUUCAGGAGGAGGCGAAGCUAAGGUGCAGGGUGGAGAAAAUAGAGGAAAGGAGAAAUACGAAGGCUAAGCAGCGGUCGCACGUCACAUGGCUGAGGAAGGGCAACAGAAGCACGAAAUACUUCAUGGCGGUGGCGUCUGCUAAGAAGAAGGUGAAUAGAGUUAGAAUGCUGAAGAAGGAGGAUGGAUCGGAUGUGAAGGAGGGGGAGGAGCUCAAUAACUAUCCUAGGGUAACCCCGUCCAUGAGGGUUGUGCUUGAGGCCGAGUUUACCAGAGAGGAGGUGAAGGCGGCCCUUGAUCAUAUUGGGGACCUCAAGGCGCCUGGCCCGGACGGCAUGCCAUUCAUCGUGUGCAUGCCGGAUGGUUGGAACGAUACAGUGGUUGUCCUCAUACCAAAGCUGUUCCCGGAGGGAUAUAUUUGGAGGAUCGGUGAUGGUACGCCGGUCAACAUCUGGUCCGAUCCUUGGUUGCCACGUCCGUGGUCGCGCGGGGUGAUCACCCCCCGAGGCGCUAACUUGCUUCAGAAAUUGCCGUGUCCCCCCAAUAUCCAGAUGUUUACUUGGCGCCUCAAGCAUGAUUCCAUGGCCUUUCGUACAAAUGUGGCACACAAGGGAAUCCCCAUCACUGACACUAAAUGCCUUUUCUGUAGCCGGGCAGACGAGGAUGUUGCCCACCUCUUCAUAAAAUGCAAGCGUGCGAAAGAAGUCUGGAGGAUGCUAGAGCUGGAGAAGGAACGCAUUGAGCUAGAAAACAAGCUGAGACAGGGAGAGGUGCCCUGGUCUGCCGAUACGGUGGCCCGUCGUACGAGAAGCACCAUGCUCGAGUAUCUUGAAAUCUUCGGGAAACAGCCGGACAAGCCAGCUCCUGACAAGUGGAGGCCACCGGAGCACGCUGAGUUCAAGAUCAACAUGGACGGGUUGUUCGCUCCAGGUCAGAACCAUUCAUGCUGGGGUGUUGCCGUCAGAUCGAAGGAUGGCACUUUGGCCUAUGCUUGGGCUGGGAGGCAGGAUCAUAUUUCGGAUGUUUUUGCUGCAGAAAUCAGUGCAAUGUUGCAUGCUGUGCAUACUGCAGCGGAUCUGCGCAUAGUUCGAGUGGAGCAGGAGAUUGAUUCUCAGCUGGUAGCGGAAGCGUUGGAUUUGCAGAAGGCCGACUCAUCGGCGCGUAGCGCAAACUCUGUUGCUCAUGAGCUUGCCGCUCUUGGUCGUGCUUGUGACCCUAACCACUUUCUAGAGUGGGAAUCUGAUGUACCCGCCCCUGUGGGCGCUUGUGACUUGGGCGAUUUUCCCAAGAGCAGUUAA